GAAAUCUCCAAAAGGAUCUCCGCUACUAAAGCAGAUAAGGAAAGGGAGAUGAAGAAAAAGAAGAAAAAGGGGAAGAAAAACGCUGCAACUAUGGGUAAUUUAUCCCGACUUUACCCUACUUUUUAAACCAUGGUAUGAGAUAGGCUGGUCUCCUAAUAUUUCCUUAAUCGAAGGGAGGAAAACCCUAAUUUUGUCUCUCCCAAGAGAUGAAAGGAAGGGAAAAAUGGUGUUUUACUUCAAAGCCCGGGCAGAAGCUGGCGAUUACAAUAUGGCUUCAUCGAAGAUAUAUGUUCAUUGGCAGGGAAGAGGAAAGUAAAGUUGUAUAAAUCUUGGAGCAAUGCAAUUUAGCU
Gossypium raimondii (Peruvian cotton) is the source of this 350-nucleotide long non-coding RNA. RefSeq lists it as uncharacterized. The record is from RefSeq and is a predicted model, not a curated record. The transcript is spliced from 3 exons. Lineage: Eukaryota; Viridiplantae; Streptophyta; Magnoliopsida; Malvales; Malvaceae.